RNAcentral lists this ribosomal RNA (252 nucleotides) under uncultured bacterium. RNAcentral describes it as "partial 16S ribosomal RNA". It matches the Rfam family "Bacterial small subunit ribosomal RNA", at positions 524 to 776 of the family's 1533-position model. The record is from RNAcentral.
UACGUAGGGUGCGAGCGUUGUCCGGAAUAUUGGGCGUAAAGAGCUUGUAGGUGGCUCGUUGCGUCGGGAGUGAAAACCUGCGGCUUAACCGCAGGCCUGCUUCCGAUACGGGCGAGCUAGAGUUCGGCAGGGGAGACUGGAAUUCCUGGUGUAGCGGUGGAAUGCGCAGAUAUCAGGAGGAACACCGGUGGCGAAGGCGGGUCUCUGGGCCGAUACUGACACUGAGAAGCGAAAGCGUGGGGAGCGAACAGG